Molecule: ribosomal RNA, 468 nt
Filed under: uncultured bacterium
Lineage: Bacteria
Description: partial 16S ribosomal RNA
Rfam family: Bacterial small subunit ribosomal RNA
Source: RNAcentral
GACGAACGCUGGCGGCGUGCUUAACACAUGCAAGUCGAACGGAAAGGCCCUGCUUUUGUGGGGUGCUCGAGUGGCGAACGGGUGAGUAACACGUGAGUAACCUGCCCUUGACUUUGGGAUAACUUCAGGAAACUGGGGCUAAUACCGGAUAGGAGCUCCUGCUGCAUGGUGGGGGUUGGAAAGUUUCGGCGGUUGGGGAUGGACUCGCGGCUUAUCAGCUUGUUGGUGGGGUAGUGGCUUACCAAGGCUUUGACGGGUAGCCGGCCUGAGAGGGUGACCGGCCACAUUGGGACUGAGAUACGGGCCAGACUCCUACGGGAGGCAGCAGUGAGGAAUAUUGCACAAUGGGCGGAAGCCUGAUGCAGCAACGCCGCGUGCGGGAUGACGGCCUUCGGGUUGUAAACCGCUUUCGACUGUGACGCAGCGUGAGUGACGGUAAUGGGUACAGAAGCACCGGCUAACUACGUG